RNAcentral lists this ribosomal RNA (253 nucleotides) under uncultured bacterium. Its description in RNAcentral is "partial 16S ribosomal RNA". It matches the Rfam family "Bacterial small subunit ribosomal RNA", at positions 524 to 776 of the family's 1533-position model. The record is from RNAcentral.
UACGUAGGGGGCUAGCGUUGUCCGGAUUUAUUGGGCGUAAAGAGCGUGUAGGCGGCCAGGUAGGUCCGGCGUGAAAACUCGAGGCUUAACCUCGAGAUGUCAUCGGAAACCAUCUGGCUAGAGUCCGGAAGAGGAAAGUGGAAUUCCUGGUGUAGCGGUGAAAUGCGCAGAUAUCAGGAAGAACACCGAUGGCGAAAGCAGCUUUCUGGGACGGUACUGACGCUGAGACGCGAAAGCGUGGGGAGCGAACAGG